UACAGAGGUCUCAAGCGUUGUUCGGAUUCAUUGGGCGUAAAGGGUGCGUAGGCGGCGCGGUAAGUCGGGUGUGAAAUCUCGGAGCUCAACUCCGAAACUGCAUUCGAUACUGCGGUGCUUUGAGGACUGGAGAGGAGACUGGAAUUUACGGUGUAGCAGUGAAAUGCGUAGAGAUCGUAAGGAAGACCAGUGGCGAAGGCGGGUCUCUGGACAGUUCCUGACACUGAGGCACGAAGGCCAGGGAGCAAACGGG
This 253-nucleotide ribosomal RNA is filed under the name uncultured bacterium. RNAcentral describes it as "partial 16S ribosomal RNA". It matches the Rfam family "Bacterial small subunit ribosomal RNA", at positions 524 to 776 of the family's 1533-position model. The record is from RNAcentral.